UGCAGUCGAGCGAACGGAUAAGGAGCUUGCUCCUUUGAAGUUAGCGGCGGACGGGUGAGUAACACGUGGGUAACCUACCUAUAAGACUGGGAUAACUUCGGGAAACCGGAGCUAAUACCGGAUAACAUUUAGAACCGCAUGGUUCUAAAGUGAAAGAUGGUUUUGCUAUCACUUAUAGAUGGACCCGCGCCGUAUUAGCUAGUUGGUAAGGUAACGGCUUACCAAGGCGACGAUACGUAGCCGACCUGAGAGGGUGAUCGGCCACACUGGAACUGAGACACGGUCCAGACUCCUACGGGAGGCAGCAGUAGGGAAUCUUCCGCAAUGGGCGAAAGCCUGACGGAGCAACGCCGCGUGAGUGAUGAAGGGUUUCGGCUCGUAAAACUCUGUUAUUAGGGAAGAACAAAUGUGUAAGUAACUGUGCACAUCUUGACGGUACCUAAUCAGAAAGCCACGGCUAACUACGUGCCAGCAGCCGCGGUAAUACGUAGGUGGCAAGCGUUAUCCGGAAUUAUUGGGCGUAAAGCGCGCGUAGGCGGUUUCUUAAGUCUGAUGUGAAAGCCCACGGCUCAACCGUGGAGGGUCAUUGGAAACUGGGAAACUUGAGUGCAGAAGAGGAAAGUGGAAUUCCAUGUGUAGCGGUGAAAUGCGCAGAGAUAUGGAGGAACACCAGUGGCGAAGGCGACUUUCUGGUCUGUAACUGACGCUGAUGUGCGAAAGCGUGGGGAUCAAACAGGAUUAGAUA
This 745-nucleotide ribosomal RNA is filed under the name Staphylococcus sp. V17-PCA-E14. RNAcentral's name for it is "bacterial SSU rRNA". It matches the Rfam family "Bacterial small subunit ribosomal RNA", at positions 56 to 784 of the family's 1533-position model. The record is from RNAcentral. Lineage: Bacteria; Bacillati; Bacillota; Bacilli; Caryophanales; Staphylococcaceae.